Molecule: long non-coding RNA, 687 nt
Organism: Cannabis sativa
Lineage: Eukaryota; Viridiplantae; Streptophyta; Magnoliopsida; Rosales; Cannabaceae
Exons: 4
Source: RefSeq, a predicted model, not a curated record
AAAACAGGAAUAUUCUAAAAAUGGUAAAAUAUUACAACAAUACUGUGGGCCGGCCCAAUCAACAUUUGUACAGCCCAAAAUGAAAAUAUUACAAAAAUACCACUUGCCCUUACCUUCAGCCGCACGUCACAAACGGAGAGGAUGAAUGAAGCUCCAUCGAUGCAGUCGGCCACGCAACCAGAAUGAAACCAGAUCGAACGUAAAACAACUGUAAAUCCCGUCGAAUUUCAAUAGGAAUCGAACAAAUCCAACGAUCUAAACAGAAAUUUUUUUAAAAAAAAGAGCAGGACAACCGUGGAGAAACUGAAUUUCAACAUUUGAUUUCGGUUUUUAUAGUGCAAUAUCACUCAAACGAUCGUCGAAAAUUCAGAUUGAAGCAAUGUAAAUCUGUAUUGAACAGAUCUGGAGCUCCCCCUCAAAUCCAAAAAAAAAGUUGCAUUAUCGUUUGAAAAUGGUUUCGAAAUCAUGAAGAAGUGUUAUAUGACAAGUACCAAGAGCUAGCAUAUGCACAAGGAAUUUAUUGUGGAAAAGAUAGAGUACAGAACAGUUUGAGAAAUGGAAUCUGGACAGGAAACACAAUGCUUGAACAAAGGAACAGAGAUAGUAGUAAGUUUGUACUCUAUUUCAUAACAUAAUAAAACCAGUUUUAAAAUUCGUUGCCUCGGACUAAUAACAAUUGCAAAAACA